This 94-nucleotide transfer RNA is filed under the name delta proteobacterium ML8_D. Its description in RNAcentral is "tRNA-Ser". It matches the Rfam family "tRNA". From Rfam's summary of the family: Transfer RNA (tRNA) molecules are approximately 80 nucleotides in length. Their secondary structure includes four short double-helical elements and three loops (D, anti-codon, and T loops). The record is from RNAcentral. Lineage: Bacteria; Deltaproteobacteria.
GGAGAGGUACCGAAGUGGCCGUAACGGGGGCGACUCGAAAUCGUCUUUACGCCCAAAAGGCGUAACGUGGGUUCGAAUCCCACCCUCUCCGCCA